This 253-nucleotide ribosomal RNA is filed under the name uncultured bacterium. Its description in RNAcentral is "partial 16S ribosomal RNA". It matches the Rfam family "Bacterial small subunit ribosomal RNA", at positions 524 to 776 of the family's 1533-position model. The record is from RNAcentral.
UACGUAGGGUGCGAGCGUUAAUCGGAAUUACUGGGCGUAAAGCGUGCGCAGGCGGCGCGUUAAGACAGGUGUGAAAGCCCCGAGCUUAACUUGGGAAUUGCGCUUGUGACUGGCGUGCUGGAGUGUGGCAGAGGGAGGUGGAAUUCCACGUGUAGCAGUGAAAUGCGUAGAGAUGUGGAGGAACACCGAUGGCGAAGGCAGCCGCCUGGGCCAGCACUGACGCUCAUGCACGAAAGCGUAGGGAGCAAACAGG